AGAACGAACGCUGGCGGCAUGCCUAAUACAUGCAAGUCGAACGAACUCUUCGGAGUUAGUGGCGCACGGGUGCGUAACGCGUGGGAAUCUGCCCCUUGGUUCGGAAUAACAGUUGGAAACGACUGCUAAUACCGGAUGAUGACGAAAGUCCAAAGAUUUAUCGCCGAGGGAUGAGCCCGCGUAGGAUUAGCUAGUUGGUGAGGUAAAGGCUCACCAAGGCAACGAUCCUUAGCUGGUCUGAGAGGGUGAUCAGCCACACUGGGACUGAGACACGGCCCAGACUCCUACGGGAGGCAGCAGUAGGGAAUAUUGGACAAUGGGCGAAAGCC
RNAcentral lists this ribosomal RNA (329 nucleotides) under uncultured soil bacterium. RNAcentral describes it as "bacterial SSU rRNA". It matches the Rfam family "Bacterial small subunit ribosomal RNA", at positions 26 to 383 of the family's 1533-position model. The record is from RNAcentral.